GCUCUUAGCUCAGUUAGUAAAGCAUGUGACUCUUCAUCUUAGGGUUGUGGGUUUGAACCCCAUGUUGGGCA
Molecule: non-coding RNA, 71 nt
Organism: Podarcis lilfordi (Lilford's wall lizard)
Lineage: Eukaryota; Metazoa; Chordata; Lepidosauria; Squamata; Lacertidae
Source: the annotation of a GenBank genome assembly